GAGGCGCGGGGCGCGGAGUGGCAAGAGCGCAGCAUGGGCUGCGCAGAACUGAGGCAGACACCCAGAGGCUGCCAAAUUGUCAUCUGAGCCGGACCGGGUUUCGGCGGCCGCGCUUUAUAGUCGCUGGAGCCUGGUGACCUAUUCCAGGGCUACAAGACUGCCUCGGCAAACAGCCCAAGGAUGUUCGGUUAUCUCGCCUUGAGGGUUCGCGCGUCACGUGCCCCCCCCGUCCCCCGCUUGUUUUUCAGUUUAAAAGUGGGGCCCGUGUCUGCAGGACUCUAGGAGCUGCGGGCCCACCCAUUCACUGAUGUUACCCUCUCCUGUCAUUUCUCCUUUGUGAAGGGCACUGAAAAUCUUGAGUUUUCUUGGGAAAGAGAAGACAUCAAACAGGCAUAUGAGGUAGAGGAUAAUAAAGAAUAUUACCUCCUUUUCAAGUACCUUGAUUUUUUUGAAGUUUUCUCGAAGUUGGUUUACCAGUUUCACAAUAACACAGAGCAACUAGAAGAUCAAAAUUCCUUGUAUGAGGGAAGAGUAUCUGUGGACCAGGCUGAAAUUUCUGAGGGGACUCUAUCACUUUUACUAAGAAAUGUGGAUUUCAUGGAUGAAGCUAUCUACAAGUGCUCAGCCAUCACACCAGAUGGAAGAGGUGAAAGUACAAUUAAGCUAAUAGUAGAAGACUCUGAAAUGCCCCAGGUGCAAUUUGACAGGAUUGAUGAUGAGGAUGUGGCCACAUGCAUCUCAAAGGACUAGUACCUCACGCCCAUUGUGACAUGGCUGGACCGGACAGAGAGGGACCUGAGCAACCACAGCAUCGUGGAAAUCCUGGAGGAGCAGAUGAAUGGCUUCUACAGGGUGUUCUCCAUCCUGAAAUACCCUGUCAAGUUAAAUGAGAAAUAUCUCUGCCACAUAACAGAGACAGAUGUGAACAACCAGCUCUUCAGAAUCAUCCACAAGUAUCCAAGUAAGUGCAAAUCCGAAAGGAACAGUGAAAGUGGGGUGCAUUUCACCACAGAAAAGUCAUCAUUCAUUAAUAUUUACUGAAUGUCAAAUAUAUCAGGCAUGCCUUCGCACUUUGGGGAUUUAAAGAAGCAUCAGGAACAUACGCUUGGAGCCUUGGGCAAGAUAAGGUGGUGAAGUGGAGUCUCUCUGGGCUUGAAAAAAGAACAUGCUUCAGAGACUGACAGCUUUCUCCUGAUAGAUGUGGCUCUUACUAUUGAUGAGGUUUCUUUUCCUCUGCACAGAACAUCAGCUUUAUGACGUGGCAGGCUGAGUAGUCAUAGUGGCCAUUUAUUAGCCUCUCACCAUGUGCCUGGCACUUUACAUAUGUCACUUUAAUCUUUACCUCUAUUUUAAUUGUUAUUACUGCCCCUCUUCUAUAUGAGAAAACCAACAAGUUAAAUAAUUUGACUAAGGACAUAGCUAACAAGCACAAGACUCAGGAUUCAAACCCAUUCUUUCUGAAUCUAAAGUUCAUGCACUUCAUUUUUCUUAUGCAUAUACCACACUGCACUUACAGAUCUAAGACUAUAGACUGCAUGAAUAGAUCUAAGUCAUAUAUGUUUGGAGAAGGGGAUUCCCUGUGUAAUAAGCAAGGAGGCAAGAAAUAGAGUCACUGCUCCCACUCAAAUUCUGAGCAGUCUUUAAGUUGCCGUAUCAAAGGCUGUCUACAUUCUGGGGAAUCUUAAUUGAGUCCUCCAGAGAAAUUUUGAUGGAUACUUUUUUGUGUAGCUGUUCUAUUACUUCUAAACUGUCUAAACUUUUUCAAGUUAGGAAUUUGAAAAAAAAAAGCAUGUUAGAAAAAGAACAGGUAUUUACUGAACACAUACCAUAUGCUAGGGUGGACCCAGGUACUUUUGCAUAAGGUAUUUAACCCCACAAUGACCUCUGAGUUAGAUACUAACAUUACAGUAUUUAGCAGAGGAGGAAACCAAGGCUGAGAGAAGGUUAAGUAUUUACCAAAGGCUACACAGCUGACAGUCUUACAACCCAGGACUUGAACUUGGGUCUAAUUAUUAACAAAGGCCUGGGCACAUUCCACUAUGUGGUUGACUCGUGGGCCUUAAGUUCCUUGUGUCAAAGUAUCUGUAGCCUCAGGCUGAGGUCAUUGAUUUAUUCUGCCACCUGUGACCUCACCUGCCUCUCCAUCAAGAAGGAAGGGAUGGUGAUGAAUACACUUGCACGGUGAGCUAAUUCCUUCUACUUUCCUGUAUCCCUGACUUAGAGAUCUUAUUAAGACUUCUUUGGAGGGUUAGCUCUGGCAGGGACUUUGGCCAUCAUCUACCAAUCACAGCAUAUAGGGGUGACUAAACAGAAGUCCAGAGAGGUGAGAUAAUUGUCCAAGGUAAUACACACUCUAUACAAGAAGUAUUAAUGGAGUCUGACUUCAUGCAAAGGUUGGGCAGUUACCUUUCAGGUCUAGUCUGUAGGGGCCUGGCAAUUAAUCAAAGCAUUCAAAACACUAUUGCAAUCCUGGAUCUCCCAGUAACUAGCCGUAAAUAUUUACAACCGUUAAGAGUAUUUAUUUAAAUUUUUAAUGACUUGGGAAAAUACCCGCACUAUCAUGUUAAAAUUUUAAAAAGCAAAAUAGUAGCUUGUAUGUGUAGCAUGAGCCCCAGUUGUUUAACUAUAUGGAGAUUUAAAAGAUAGGAUGUAUUAUUAUUAUUAUU
This is a long non-coding RNA of Homo sapiens (human), 2666 nucleotides long. The record is from Ensembl. Lineage: Eukaryota; Metazoa; Chordata; Mammalia; Primates; Hominidae.